Molecule: ribosomal RNA, 499 nt
Filed under: uncultured bacterium
Lineage: Bacteria
Description: partial 16S ribosomal RNA
Rfam family: Bacterial small subunit ribosomal RNA
Source: RNAcentral
GACGAACGCUGGCGGCGUGCCCAAUACAUGCAAGUCGAGCGAAGUUUUUCUGGUGCUUGCACUAGAAAAACUUAGCGGCGAACGGGUGAGUAACACGUAAAGAACCUGCCUCAUAGACUGGGACAACUAUUGGAAACGAUAGCUAAUACCGGAUAACAGUAUUUCUCGCAUGAGAGAUAUUUAAAAGUUGGUUAUGCCAACACUAUGAGAUGGCUUUGCGGUGCAUUAGCUAGUUGGUGGGGUAAAGGCCCACCAAGGCGACGAUGCAUAGCCGACCUGAGAGGGUGAUCGGCCACACUGGGACUGAGACACGGCCCAGACUCCUACGGGAGGCAGCAGUAGGGAAUCUUCCGCAAUGGGCGAAAGCCUGACGGAGCAACGCCGCGUGAGUGAAGAAGGAUUUCGGUUCGUAAAGCUCUGUUGUUAGGGAAGAAUGGAUAUGUAGUAACUAUACAUGUAAGAGACGGUACCUAACCAGAAAGCCACGGCUAACUACGUG